RNAcentral lists this ribosomal RNA (151 nucleotides) under uncultured crenarchaeote. Its description in RNAcentral is "partial 16S ribosomal RNA". It matches the Rfam family "Archaeal small subunit ribosomal RNA", at positions 321 to 473 of the family's 1478-position model. Lineage: Archaea; Thermoproteati; Thermoproteota. The record is from RNAcentral.
CCCUACGGGGUGCACCAGGCGCGAAACCUCUGCAAUAGGCGAAAGCUUGACAGGGUUACUCUGAGUGAUGCCCGCUAAGGGCAUCUUUUGGCACCUCUAAAAAUGGUGCAGAAUAAGGGGUGGGCAAGUCUGGUGUCAGCAGCCGCGGUAA